RNAcentral lists this ribosomal RNA (1805 nucleotides) under metagenome. Its description in RNAcentral is "bacterial LSU rRNA". It matches the Rfam family "Bacterial large subunit ribosomal RNA", at positions 811 to 2925 of the family's 2925-position model. The record is from RNAcentral.
GCGGCUAGGGGUGAAAGGCCAAUCAAACUCGGAGAUAGCUGGUUUUCUGCGAAAUCUAUUUAAGUAGAGCGUUAUCAAUAAAAUGGGGGUAGGGCUCUGGANUCUUGAUGGGGGCGCAAGCUUUACUGACAGUNUUUAAACCUUGAAUACCAUGAUAGCAGACAGGCUGCGGGUGAUAAGAUCCGUAGCCAAGAGGGAGACAGCCCAGACUGUAGGAUAAGGUUCUUAACGAUAACUAAGAUAAAGGCAGCUACUGCUUAGACAACCCUAAUGGUGGGCUUAGAAGCAGCCAUCCAUUAAAGAGGUCGUUAAAGAUCAUGGGACUAGCUACUAGUUGCCGAAAAUUUUGAAGUAGAGUUUUCGUCCGAAGCCACAGUGUUUAAGGUAGCAGAAUGCUCGUAAAGGACCAUAUAAAAACCACAAUUGUGUGUGUUUAUUGUAAUCGGUUUGAAAAAAUCGGUGAACUUUUGCGAGGUAACAAUGUUAGCAUGAGUAACUAAAAAUAUUGUGCGAACCAAUAUCACCGAAAGCCCGAGGUUUUCCCCAAAAGGACAAUCCUAGGGGUGUGAAACGGUUCCUAAGAGUAGAUUCGAAAGAAUUUUCUCGAUGGCAUACUUGAUCCGACAGCGGUGAGAGUUUGAAAAUUANAANUACCGUACCAAACCAAUGCAGGUGGGCGGGUUGGGUAUACUNAGGUGAUCGAGGCAACGGCGUUUAAGGAACUCGGCAAANUGACUCUGUAACUUUGGGAGGAGGAGUGCUCUUUUUNUAGAGUGUAAUAAACAAGGGGGGAGCGACUGUUUACUAAAAACACAGGACUCUGCGAAAUAGCAAUAUGACGUAUAGGGUCUGACGCCUGCCCGGUGCCAUUGAGCAAAAGCAAGGUGUGNNAGCANCNAGUAUAAGCUUCGGUAAACGGCGGCUGUAACUCUGACGGUCCUAAGGUAGCGAAAUUCCUUGGCGGGUAAGUUCCGUCCUGCAUGAAUGGCGUAACGACUCCCCUACUGUCUCAAGCGCCGGCUCGGUGAAAUUGAAUUGCCCGUGAAGAUGCGGGCAUGUCGUGGCUAGACGGAAAGACCCUGUGCACCUUUACUAUAACCUUGCGUUGCUCUAGGCUUGUGAUUGCUCAGAAAAGGCGGGAGUUUGGUGACAACAACUAAACACUAGUGAGAUACCGCCCUUUUGCAUGUCUAGGGUUUUUUGUAAGGCUGGUAGUUUGGCUGGGGUGGCCGCCUCCUAAAGAGUAACGGGGGUGCGCAAUGGUGAGCUCAACCCGACUUUCGGGGUGAGAGCGUAAUGGUAUAAGCUCGCCUGACUGAAAGAUAUACAAAUCGAUCAGGAACGCAAGUUGGUCAUAGUGACCCGACGGUGCUGCGCGGAAAGGCCGUCGAUCAACGGAUAAAAGGUACGCCAGGGAUAACAGGCUAAUAACCCCUAAGAGACCAAAUCGCCGGGGUUGUUUGGCACCUCGAUGUCGGCUCAUCACAUCCUGGAGCUGUAGGCGGUUCCAAGGGUUCGGCUGUUCGCCGAUUAAAGUGGUACGUGAGCUGGGUUUAGAACGUUGUGAAACAGUUCGGUCCCUAUCUACCACGACAAGGAUUGCGGGUGGCCACCCUAGUACGGGAGGAUCGGGUGGCACUGGCCAAUGGUGACCAGUUGUUUUUCCAUGUAAAAUAAGCAUCGCUGGAUAGCUACGCCAGGAGGUAUAACUGCUGAAUGCAUAUAAAGCGGGAAGACCGCCCCAAAAUAUCUUAUAAAAGUAGAACAUGACUACAUAGGCGAGAUUGUUUUAGGCUGUAAGGUCG